GAAUAGCCCCGAUGGAAGCGGCAUCCUUUUUUGGUUUUACCCUGUCAGGGUUUAAAACCCUGACAGGGUAAAACCAAAAAAGAUAAAGCGUACAGCGGGAGAAAUG
Molecule: small nuclear RNA, 106 nt
Filed under: Hucho hucho (huchen)
Lineage: Eukaryota; Metazoa; Chordata; Actinopteri; Salmoniformes; Salmonidae
Description: Flavo-1 RNA (ENSHHUG00000013063.1)
Rfam family: Flavo-1 RNA
Source: Rfam by way of RNAcentral